CCUUGGUAGCACAGUGACACAGCAAGCCUAAGGAUUUUCUAUGGAGAUUUUUAACGUCGGGGACCACAGACACUCAAAUAAUUUAAGUCCAUUUGCAGCAUCAAAAGAAACAAGAAGAAGUCAGACAGAGUGCCUUGCAAAUUUGUGUGUAAACGGGCACAGGGUCCACAUUGAUCACUUCUGCAGCUCUUCGGUUUUAGUGUCCAGGCUGCCAGACGACUGAACAACCUGCACGCUCUUCCCCUGAUCCGAGACUGGAAGCUACUGAAGGAAAAGAGGACACUUCACACCAGCCUUCAGGGCCUCGACCUAACACAACGUGGAAAGGAGGACCAUGUCAGGCUGGAGCAGGGACUUUGUCCAAGUCAGCAGCUCACUUACUCAUCCUGAGUAGAAACACCAUGUUCUUCAGUUUUCCAUCUGGAGACCAGCCCAGAAAUGAUCCAGCCUCCUUGCCAGAUUCGAGAGGCAGCUUUUGGAGGUGCAGCACUGUUUGAGGGAGAUUAUAGAAUCUUCAGGAAUGGAGCCUAGACCGAUGAACAGGGUCACUGUGGAAAACUUUGAGGUUUGUGUCCUGACUCUACUUUCUGUACUGUUUGCUUGCUGGUCUGCUAGAUGUGAGCCUUGUGACCCU
Peromyscus maniculatus bairdii (prairie deer mouse) is the source of this 634-nucleotide long non-coding RNA. RefSeq lists it as uncharacterized. The record is from RefSeq and is a predicted model, not a curated record. Lineage: Eukaryota; Metazoa; Chordata; Mammalia; Rodentia; Cricetidae.